UUGUGCAAAGGUAGCAUAAUCAUUAGUCUUAUAAUUUAAGACUGGAAUGAAAGAGUUAAUGAAAGAUAUCCUCUUUUUAAUAUACCCACCCAACUUUACUUUUUAGUAAAAAGGCUAAAAUACUCUUUAAAGACAAGAAGACCCUAUAAAUCUUUACACAUAAAGAUUGAAAAGAUCAAAAGUGUGUUCAGCUGGGGCGGCGGAGAAUAUCUCAUUCUCAAAUACAUCAAGAAUUAUUCUUAUUACCCAGAAAUUCUGAAGAUAAAAUAAGUUACUUUAGGGAUAACAGCGUUAUAUAUUUAGAAAGCUCAAAUUGAUAAAUAUGAUUGCGNCCUCGAUGUUGGAUUGGUUACCCUUGUACCACGCAAAAGGGC
Molecule: ribosomal RNA, 374 nt
Filed under: Alayotityus nanus
Lineage: Eukaryota; Metazoa; Arthropoda; Arachnida; Scorpiones; Buthidae
Description: partial 16S ribosomal RNA
Rfam family: Archaeal large subunit ribosomal RNA
Source: RNAcentral